RNAcentral lists this transfer RNA (88 nucleotides) under Ectothiorhodospiraceae bacterium WFHF3C12. Its description in RNAcentral is "tRNA-Ser". It matches the Rfam family "tRNA". Rfam says of the family: Transfer RNA (tRNA) molecules are approximately 80 nucleotides in length. Their secondary structure includes four short double-helical elements and three loops (D, anti-codon, and T loops). Lineage: Bacteria; Pseudomonadati; Pseudomonadota; Gammaproteobacteria; Chromatiales; Ectothiorhodospiraceae. The record is from RNAcentral.
GGAGGAGUGGCUGAGCGGUCGAAAGCGGCGGUCUUGAAAACCGUUGACCCGCAAGGGUCCGGGGGUUCGAAUCCCUCCUCCUCCGCCA